Non-coding RNA from Rattus norvegicus (Norway rat), 384 nucleotides. The record is from RefSeq and is a predicted model, not a curated record. Lineage: Eukaryota; Metazoa; Chordata; Mammalia; Rodentia; Muridae.
AGCGGAGAGCGUCUGACACGGAGCGGUCUUCCUCCAGACGCCUGAUGGAGCAUGAGCAGUGGGAGGCCACAUCCAAAUUCAGGUCUCAGGAAAAGAAUCCAACUUCGUCAGCUUUGCUAAUGGCGUUUGGAAUCACCAAGAUCACAAAGGAUAAAAGUGGGUUGGAGCAUAGGCAAGACACAAGUUGGUGGAGACAGAGACAGCCUAUGCUAGAAGUCUCCAGUAAUGGGUCACAGAGACAGCUCAGCUCCUGAGGUGUUGUUGACACAGUGCUUGGCAACCUGUUUUUGAUUCCCGGUUCAGGGGGAUAGCUCACCUGAAGAGAAAGAGACUCCUGGAAGUUUCAUCACCCAGCUAGCCUACCCAAAUCAGCAAGUCCCAGGU